UACGAAGGGGGCUAGCGUUAAUCGGAAUUACUGGGCGUAAAGCGCACGCAGGCGGUUUGUUAAGUCAGAUGUGAAAUCCCCGGGCUCAACCUGGGAACUGCAUUUGAAACUGGCAAGCUUGAGUCUCGUAGAGGGGGGUAGAAUUCCAGGUGUAGCGGUGAAAUGCGUAGAGAUCUGGAGGAAUACCGGUGGCGAAGGCGGCCCCCUGGACGAAGACUGACGCUCAGGUGCGAAAGCGUGGGGAGCAAACAGG
RNAcentral lists this ribosomal RNA (253 nucleotides) under uncultured bacterium. RNAcentral's name for it is "partial 16S ribosomal RNA". It matches the Rfam family "Bacterial small subunit ribosomal RNA", at positions 524 to 776 of the family's 1533-position model. The record is from RNAcentral.